GACGAACGCUGGCGGCGUGCUUAACACAUGCAAGUUGAACGGAAAGGGCCGGCUCUUGUGGGGUGCGCGUGUGGCGAACGGGGGAGUAUCACGCGAGUAAACUGCGCUUGACUGCGGGAUAACUUCUGGGAACUGGGGUGAAAACCGGGUAUGAGCUCCUUAUGCAUGGGGGGUGUGGGUAAAAGACGGCGGUUGGGGAUGGAAUGGCGGUUUAUCAGCGUAUUGGUGGGGUAGUGGGUUAACACGGCUUUGACGGGAAGCCGGCCUGAGAGGGUGACAGGCCACAUUGGGACUGGGAUAGGGGCCAGACUCCUACGGGAGGCAGGAGUGGGGAAUAUUGCACAAUGGGCGGAAGCCUGAUGCAGCAACGCCGCGUGCGGGAUGACGGCCUUCGGGUUGUAACCCGCUUUCGCCUGUGACGAAGAGUAAGUGACGGUAAUGGGUAAAGAAGCACCGGCUAACUACGUG
This 468-nucleotide ribosomal RNA is filed under the name uncultured bacterium. RNAcentral's name for it is "partial 16S ribosomal RNA". It matches the Rfam family "Bacterial small subunit ribosomal RNA", at positions 28 to 507 of the family's 1533-position model. The record is from RNAcentral.